This is a long non-coding RNA of Aethalodelphis obliquidens (Pacific white-sided dolphin), 216 nucleotides long. RefSeq lists it as uncharacterized. The record is from RefSeq and is a predicted model, not a curated record. The transcript has 3 exons. Lineage: Eukaryota; Metazoa; Chordata; Mammalia; Artiodactyla; Delphinidae.
GUUGCCUGUUGUUGCUUGAAGCUGGUUGUUGGUUUUGAGAUGGAGAUCUCUGGGAGAUUUUUGCCAUUUGAUAUUACAUGGAGCUGGAAGGUCUCCUGUGGACCAGUGUCAUGAAGUUGGGUCUCCCAGCUCUGUGGCAGAGCCCUGAUGCCUGGCUGGGGCCCCAAGAGACUGUACUCCACACAGCUCAGAAGAAAAGGGAGAAAAAAUAGAAAG